AAAAAGGGCUUCUGUUGUGAGUGGCACAUGUCGGGCAGCUGGAUUGCUCUAUGUGUGGAAUCGACAUCAAGGUAUUUUGGAAGCAUAAUUUUUUGGUACUGGGCAGCGAGUGGUUGUUGGUCCUGGUACCCUU
This is a small nuclear RNA of Artibeus jamaicensis (Jamaican fruit-eating bat), 133 nucleotides long. RefSeq annotates it as U11 spliceosomal RNA. Lineage: Eukaryota; Metazoa; Chordata; Mammalia; Chiroptera; Phyllostomidae. The record is from RefSeq and is a predicted model, not a curated record. The transcript has a single exon.